UUCCCUCGAAUCAUUGAAGAACGAAGCGAUACCGGUCAGCUAGUGGUCGCUAUAGGUUCCGGCCGUGCAUUGACUUUAACCAAGGCGUCUGUGCUACACGAAGAGUUAGAAGUGAGAACGUUUGAAAGCGGCUUGGAAGUUGUUCAUUUUAUGAAUGGCUCAAGGCUUGAAGAAGAGCUCUAUCAUGAUACUCAGGCGCAAUCUGCCGUCCACAUCACGCGUGGACCAAGACUUACACUCGUUGGAAUACUCAGCCCUACAGAGCGUAUACAGCCUUCAG
Molecule: long non-coding RNA, 280 nt
Organism: Rhipicephalus microplus (southern cattle tick)
Lineage: Eukaryota; Metazoa; Arthropoda; Arachnida; Ixodida; Ixodidae
Source: RefSeq, a predicted model, not a curated record